RNAcentral lists this small RNA (621 nucleotides) under Tepidibacillus fermentans. Lineage: Bacteria; Bacillati; Bacillota; Bacilli; Caryophanales; Bacillaceae. The record is from RNAcentral.
AAGUUUUGCAAUUGGAGUGGUGCAGUAUUUCUAGUCAAUCCACCUAUUCUGAAGGCGGGCCUAAAAAUCUGCCAAAGGGCACAUCGAUGAAGUUCUUGGUGUUGGCUUUUGACGCCCAGUCAGGGGUCGAUGCUGAGAGUUAAGGUUAGAGGGCGAUCCACAAUGGCAUGUGGGCGUAGACCCUCUUUCCGCGGAGGCCCAAGUAUGUAGCAAGAAGGUACCGUCCGACUUGUUAUGGCUUGGGGUAUGAACCUGCAUGCGAGAUGACUUGUGUGCAGCGUAGCCUGCCUUGCGUGAUAUAGUUUGGGAUUAUAGGGUAAAGGUUAUAUUUUUUCUGGCCAAAAAAAGUAUAACUGUUUCUAUAUGAAAUCUAUAUUGCAAAAGAGGCUAGGAAUAGGAUUCGGAUUGUUGAGGAAAGCUCCUAGACUGUUCGAAAAGAGGCUCUUUAGGGAUUAAAGUGUGGACUAAGUGGUAAUCUAGUCCAAUGGUUGGCGACUCCAUUGAGAAGAGCAUAAAGGGAAACCGCCUUUUUGGCGACAGAAAGGUGUCUCUUCUGGGAAAACCUACUAGACCUAAGCCACAGCAUUUACCUAAAGAGUCACCACUCCACAUACAUAUCCU